This is a long non-coding RNA of Strongylocentrotus purpuratus (purple sea urchin), 395 nucleotides long. RefSeq lists it as uncharacterized. The record is from RefSeq and is a predicted model, not a curated record. NCBI's taxonomy places the organism in Eukaryota, Metazoa, Echinodermata, Echinoidea, Camarodonta, Strongylocentrotidae. The transcript is spliced from 3 exons.
UCGUCUACGGCUGUGUCUUUACAAUCAAGAACCACCCGAGAAAGGUGCUCUUCUAUUUACCAUUCACUAUAUUCUUUAGUGUUUGGUUUCUGCUUGAGCCCACAUAUCGGCUGUUAUCUUUCUACAUCUACCCAGUUCUGCGAAGUCCAAAUAUCUGGAACGGAAUCGACCUGGCGAUGUGUUUUACUGGACACGUCUAUUUCCUGUUUAUAACGCGACCGGACUGUCUUAAUAAACGGUUCCCUUUCCAUCUGCGAGCAGGCAAGAUUUCUUUCCGUGAUGUCGAUGAUGACGUAGAGAACAUCUACCAGCCAUCGAGCGACUUUUAUUCUAUCUUCGAGACUGAGAAGAAAUCGACUUUGACUAUUCCGGAUGAACCAGAGCACUUCUUAACU